Xenopus laevis (African clawed frog) is the source of this 497-nucleotide long non-coding RNA. RefSeq lists it as uncharacterized. NCBI's taxonomy places the organism in Eukaryota, Metazoa, Chordata, Amphibia, Anura, Pipidae. The record is from RefSeq and is a predicted model, not a curated record. The transcript has 2 exons.
CAAGUAGCUCCCCUUCUUCUUUUUCUGCUGAUUCACUGCACAUGCUCUGUGCUGCUGGCAGGGUCAUGAUGAGCCUGCAGAUUUGUAACAAUACGGAUUUGUCACUUCGUUGUGUACUGAAGAUCUGUUGGGGUUGAAAUGCUGAAAUACUGGAUGGAAUGCUAAUGUAAACUUAAAAUACAUUAGCACCUCAGGAAAAUAGGUGUGGAUAGGAAGGAUAUGCAGAAAUAAAGCUUCUCCCGAUGAAGGGUGGAUAUGGAAUGGCUGCGGAACUCUAAUUUAUAACAUCCAUUGGAAAUCAAUACGUAAAAUACCCUGUCACAUUUAAGUGUUCUCUGUGACCUUUCACUCAACAGAAUCCUUUGAGUCACAGCAGGAAUAAGUGUGACCCAACCCUGUGUUACAGCAGAAUUAAUGACAAUGGACAUGUCAUUCUGGCUUGCAUAAGAAAUAAACAUAAUAAUUGGCUUUUUUUAAUAAUAAACUGUAAGAGAUAG